This 659-nucleotide long non-coding RNA is filed under the name Lathyrus oleraceus (garden pea). Its description in RNAcentral is "Pisum sativum (pea) long non-coding RNA (PSAT_LNC004070)". The record is from RNAcentral. Lineage: Eukaryota; Viridiplantae; Streptophyta; Magnoliopsida; Fabales; Fabaceae.
UGGUAAUGUGCAUGAAUUGGAUAUAUAUCAUUGAAAUACUCUUUAGUUUAUUAACAUCAUUUUAGAGUACAAAAUCAUAAAUACAAGGUACAUGAAAUUAAACAAUUAAAUUUAAAAAUUAUAAAGUUCUCGAACAAUAAAUAAAUGAUAUUUUAGAGAUAUAUUAUAUCAUAGAAUAUUACACGUUUAUAUUUUUACUCAUACUUUUCAAUAGAGCAUUUUUGUAUUCUUCUAGACCUAGUGUAUAAUUUGACAAAAGCGAUUAAUGCACUUAAUUGAUAUUAAUUUGGAAAUUACUUUUGGACAAUCGGCAUCAAUUUCACAUUUUAAUGAAAGCUUAGCAAAUUUUCCUGAAAUAAAAAAGAUUAUAAAAUAAUAUUAGAAAACAUAAUAAAAAGUUGUGUUCAAAUUUCAAAGAAUAGAAGAAAUUUAAAGAGAAUAAAAAUACCAGCAACAAGCGAUGUUGCAAGAAAUAAUGAAAUAUAAAAAAUCCAAACAUAAAAUAACUUCAAAAUUACAGCCAUAUUUUUUUCACUUUACAUAUAAAAGAUAGAACAUGAUUUAAUCUUUUUAUAGCAUGUAAAGUUCAUAUUGUUAGAUAUUUAAUUUAAUUGUAGUUUUAAUCCUUUGGAAGUUAUAAAAAUAUUUUAUAAAAUUAU